CGCGUAGGCGGGAUGGCAAGUCGGUCGUGAAAUCCUUCGGCUCAACCGAAGAACGUCGGCCGAUACUGCCGUUCCUGAGGGAUGCAGAGGAGACUGGAAUUCCCGGUGUAGCGGUGAAAUGUGUAGAGAUCGGGAGGAACACCGGUGGCGAAGGCGGGUCUCUGGGCAUCUCCUGACGCUGAGGCGCGAAAGCGUGGGGAGCAAACGGGAUUAGAUACCCCGGUAGUCCACGCCAUAAACGAUGACGACUAGGUGUGGGGUGGUUCAGUCCACUCCGUGCCGCAGCUAACGCAUUAAGUCGUCCGCCUGGGGAGUACGGCCGCAAGGUUGAA
RNAcentral lists this ribosomal RNA (332 nucleotides) under uncultured bacterium. Its description in RNAcentral is "bacterial SSU rRNA". It matches the Rfam family "Bacterial small subunit ribosomal RNA", at positions 568 to 898 of the family's 1533-position model. The record is from RNAcentral.